AAUUGUUUCACCAUUACACUGUUAAUUCAAAAUGAUAGAGAGAUUAGAUUAGCAUUGCUCCUGAAGAUGGGGGAUACAUACAACUGGGAAGCAUUACAGGUUUUU
Molecule: small nuclear RNA, 105 nt
Organism: Eubalaena glacialis (North Atlantic right whale)
Lineage: Eukaryota; Metazoa; Chordata; Mammalia; Artiodactyla; Balaenidae
Source: RefSeq, a predicted model, not a curated record